RNAcentral lists this long non-coding RNA (12820 nucleotides) under Varroa destructor (honeybee mite). RNAcentral's name for it is "uncharacterized LOC111245954, transcript variant X4". The record is from RNAcentral. Lineage: Eukaryota; Metazoa; Arthropoda; Arachnida; Mesostigmata; Varroidae.
AGCAAUUUUUUAUUUUGAUUCGAGGAGGAGUACUCACGUUAACUCGUCCUUUACAUUUACAUUAUUCCUGCUUGAAGGUUUAAAGCGUUGUCGUCUGCGUAAAGCGGCUGUUUUUGUGGAACGUGCUCUAAAUAAAAGUGAGUGGCCUGGUAUAUGGAAAUGGCUCCUAUCACUUAUCAUUUUUCUUCGGCCUUUCGCUGUGUUCUAUAUUUGAGGGCUGUAUCGCUAUCUUCGAUUCAGUGAACGGUCUCAAGCAGUCUAGUAUUCACUAUAUACAAAACAACGCCGCCUUUAAGCGGGAGCAAUCCGUUCGGGCCUGUCGUGUGGUUCGAAUAUUUCGCAUUCGACGUUGCACAUAUUAAUCGCCGAUACAAUUGUUUCGAGGCUGUUGUUGAAGCAGAUUCACUGUUAUCUAAUUGGCCAAGAUUGCGGGUUACCGGAUUUGCCUUUACGGCCAAGCCAAGCUCCUUACUCGGUUGAUCGCCCAGAUUCACUUAACAUGUUUGUGUAAUAUGAACAUUUUCCUAGAGCUAAGCCUUGCUGACGUAGCUUGCCCCUGAUUGUACUGUUAUUUGUUUUACACAGUCCGCUAUUUGCUUUUGCCGCAUUAGCAGUCGAUUAGAUCUGGGCAUUCGUCACUAUUGUUUAUCAUGCGUAUAUUGUGACAAUAAUGUAGCAUGAUUAUCCCUGUCAAUUCGUUGUUCUUGUUGCAUCCAGGGGUUAUUUAAGUUUGAAAUUUGACGUAAAAUAAAUAUACUAUAGGAUAGAGAUAUUUAUGACAUUAAAAAGUCAAUCGCUAAACAUCUAAUAGUGGUCUAACUAAGGUUCCACAAAUAAAAUAGCUCAAAAAUUAAAUGUUAAAAAGAACGAAAACUCUUCUACGUCACGCGUCGAAUUCACACACGCACACAUACAACAUGAACUAUAUCAACGAAACUUCAACUACUAUGGAACUUCACCAGUGAUAUGGAAGCUACCAUAUCGUACUCAUUUACUAAUUAUAAUAGUAAUAAAUAGUGCGUAUUAUCCUGUCACCUUCGACCAGUGUCAGCAAAUAAUCACCUCAGUCAUUAUGGCAUCCAUUAUUAUCAAUAUAAUUAGUAUUAUUAUUAUUUUGCGUUACAAGUGCUCAGCAUUAGCGAUAAUUCAUCAUUUUCGUACUAAUGGAUAUAAUAACAAUAUUACUAAAAUGUAGUAAAAACUGGUAGUAGCUAGGAUUUUUCUCCUUUUGUAUUGUUCUCAUACCAUAUAAAAGCAUAGUCGGUCAUCAAUCUAAUCAUCAUUACGAUUAUAGGUAUGUAGCCAAUAUAUAGAGAUUAGCAGCAUAUAUGUAGUUCACCACACUCCAAUCCAGCUAUACCAGAAUCGCUUUUUUCUCUCCUAAUCCUUUCGGCCACUGUCCUAGAGUUUAGAGCCUACACACAUAUCUUUUGAAAGAGAAAUACACGACAUAUAUGUACAGGGUGUCCCGAAAAUGAAUCAUUGUAACUACAGUUUUUACUUAUAUAUAAUUAAUAUGAAAAUUCCAAGACAGUUCAUAUGAAUUGUAUAACCUUUUCCUACCGUUGCUCUAUUGAAAAUGCUUUACCGAUUGACAAAUUUUGACAAACAUCCAAUGCAUGGUACUAUGGGACAUUUUUUCUCAGUUACGGUUUUUAAAUCUUCCAGUGUGGUCAGAUCUCUGGCAUAGCCUAUGUCUUUGAGGUGUGUUCACAAGGAGAGCAUUAGAUCUGAAGGACGGGCAACAUGUCCUAUGAAACCUAUCAGUUCAAGCCCUCUAAAUUUGGAAGAUUCUCAUGACUACAAUACCCUUCGCUGUGGUGGAAACAAAAUUAGCCAUUGUAACCAAAGUCCUUUCGAAGGCGCAACAAAACAAACUUUUGCAAUGGAUUACCACCAGUACAUGCAUCUUUUCGGGACAUACUCUAAUAUAUACGUGAAUAUAUAUACGAAUUGUUAUUAUGCAAAUAUUUGUCUCAUCCGUUCGGUGUGGGAGUAUCGUGUUAGAAUGAUAACGUGGCGAUCACAAACAAGAGUAACUUUUCUUAGAAAUCAUCUCAUGGUUUCUGGUCGGCUAUCCGCGUUCAUCCACGGUUACUCAGCUCAGUCAGCGCUCUUUCUAUAUCUAUCAUUAUACGUAUUCAAAUAUAUCCGCUCUCUUAUAUGUAACUGUCAAUCAAUCUCCAGCAAACGAGAGGUUUACUAAUCGUCCCCUCAAAAUAUCCACUACAUCAAACGAAGUCUUACUCUAUAUGCUCAGUUACUAGAUCAGUAAAAAAUUGCACUACGAACUCGUUAGGGAGGAGUGGAAAUACAAGGAGCACUUCGACGAAAACAACUAGAACAUUGUAAGGUAUGGAAACAGUAUUUGAAAUACCGUCGUUGAUAAUCUAGUAUCUUCUAUAAUACGCGAAGCCAUAUUAUUCAAACAAUAUAGUUAUUUGCCCCCUCCUCCGCCCCUCGCUCCGUGUCAUCAUAUGAAUCACCGGUAAGCACUCCGACACCUACCUGUGUACCUAUAUCGACGUACUUAAUCAAUGUAUCAUAUAUACUAUCAGAUUGUUGGCGUUAGUAUUGAAUUGGAUUCAAUGAGUUGUCGUUUGCGUAUAGCACUGUAUUCGUCAUCAGUUGUCUACCGGUUCCUUAUAUUUGUAGCAGUCGUACAACAAGUGGCAGCUGUUAUGUACAAUGAGAGCUUCUUUGUGGUAGUUGUCGUAGGAGUAUAUACAUUUUUAAUGUCGACCCGCGUUGGCAAGGCUAAUGUUGCCACCUAGGCUGCGAGAUAGGAUUCCGAAGCGGGGCAUUCCGGGAGGAAGAGCCGCGGGUUUGGAGGACCAGGAUUAGCCCGAUUUUAUGUAUCCGGAUUAUAUGCGGGUAUCGGUCUGUAGCCGUUCGGUAGCAGUUCAUUCACAUGAUGAUGAUUCUUAUAGGUGUGACUGCCGCUGCUGUCAUCAUUAUUAUCGUGGUUACUGUCCUAUUCGUGGUUAUAGUUGUCACAGUUACAAUCAUUAGACUCUUAUUACUAUUAUCAUGAUAAUUCUGCAUCAAUUUUCUUCUUCUUAUUAUUAUGCUUUUUGUAUUGGGUUAUCAUCGAUGACUUUCAUUAUGAGUUGAUUAGUAACGUUAGUUGAUUUAACGAUGAAUGCAUGGAUGAAUGGAGCUUAAGCUAAGGAAAGGCGGGGAAGCGCAGACGGACGAGCGGGCCUCGACACAUUUUUUUUUUCUACUUAAAUAAACCGUUUUGUCUUUCUCAGAGCCAAAAUUUCGCCAGAGAGACUUACAGGAUCGUAUGGUUAUCAUAUCGUUCAGGAUAAGCGUCGUUGUAAUGAUUUAUGAAGCACGCUCGCUCGACGGCACUAGAUCCGCGUCUGAUGUCGGAUUUGAACUAGAGAACGGUGCCCUUGCGCUGUUCAGAUCUGCCUGCCUCUUGUUUUACAGCACGUCUUCUUUGCAUCGGUAUUCAUUAAUGGACCUAUCAAAGUUUAACGGACAGUCUUGUAACUAGCUUUCAACAGGCUUUCUUUGCCCAAGGUGUAUUGGCGUCUGAAAUUACGUUACAAACUCAAUGCACGGAAAACCUGGUCAGCACUUGUUACUAUGACUUGUACGAUCUCUAUUCGAAUUGAUGUGGGCGCGUCAAGUAGAGUCGACUGUGAAAUUCUAUUGGUUUUUAUUAGUAUUGUUCGUCUAACUGUUUCAUGUUUCUAACUGAGCCGCUAUUUCGUUUUGUUAAAACGCCCUAUUUAGACAUGACCUUUUUCCUUUCGCUAAAUAAAGCGCGUAAAAAAGCACUUAAUCUCUAAUAUCCCAAUCAGUUAUUUUAUUCACUGAACAAUGUAUCUAAUUGCCUUAUUUACUUCAAUGUCUGUCCGUUGAAUAUCAAACUUUAUAUAUAGGAAGAGAGAGAGAGCGACCGAUUCUAAUAGUGACCUUAAUCGUAUACAUCAAUCGUGUGUGUAGUUAGCUAACCCGAGUGAGGGCCCCAAUGCGUGAAUCAGCGGAGUUCAAUUGGCCAAAUGCGAAACAUAAAAACUCACUACGAACGGUCUCCUGCCGUACCUUCUGGCUGCUUUUGCUAUUUGAAUAUUUACCUCGAUCAGCGGUAUCGCAGGAAACUGAUGGAUUUCGUAGCAUAGAAAAAGUAGAGAAAUGUUCAUGAACGGCCCAAAUAAUGGCUAUAUUGCAAACAGUAUGCCUCAUCUUUGCCUGGCUUAUAGACACUUGACGGUCUGCUAUAUGCGCGUGAAAUCCCAUUUCAGCAUUCAGUCUUCUAUUGCUGAGCGCUUGAGUAGCUCGUCUGUUUGUUAUUUCCGUCGCUGCGCAAGAAAGGACGUGUGUGUAUUAGGUAGAAUGCAGAUAAAAGAGACAUACAUAUCCGUUGCUCACCCGUAUUGAGCCAACGAUUUCAUGCUCACGUCGAAUGUUUUUUUUACAUCUAAGUACCUAUAACAACAACUUGGGUGGAGCUUCCAUUGUUGUUAUUGUUGUAUUUUUGGCUAUUUUUGCUCUGCUUUGCCUGUUGUCAUCGAUAGCCACUGGCAAGCCCAAUGAGGUUCGGAUGAUCGAGUUCGGAGUUUCGCCCAGCAGAGUGCACCUCGAUUUCAGCGGGCUGCAAAAGUAUCGUUGAUUCAGGUACCGUGCGUUUAUUCCUAAUCAUGUUGAUUAGCAUUAGCCUAUUAUUUGUAACCUACCUAGUGUUAACUAUAUAUAGUUGUUUAUUAAGGUGCAUGUUUUUUCUCUGUCUAUGUAAAGGAAAAUGAUCUGCUAUUCUGUUUAACUGUUGUAGUGGGGCAAGUGGGAGAAAUUGCUUACGCCUCAUGGGAACUAUGAUGGGUCCCUUUGAAGAGGCUAAUCAUUUCAAUAGCUCAGGGCUCUUAAAUUUGAUAGCAAACGUCUACGAGUAUAACAUGAAUUUACAUGAUCUUGCGUAAACGAUCCGAAUGAACAUGUGCAUCCCAGAAGACUUGGAAAGUCCUCUGGAUUGCAACGUCAUCUAGCCCCUCCUUGACUCUGGAUAGAAGAUGCCCUUGGCGUCGUUUACAGUCACAGCCCCGAACGUUACCCUUGAAUCCCAUAAAACAUAUUACAUAAAAAAAAAAAAUACAUUUUUCAAUACAAGCAUUGCUGGAAUUUCAAGCCAUAUGGAUCAAGGAGGGUAACUAAUGUCACAGUAUAUUGCGUAAGCGGACUUCAGACGAAAAUCUGUAUUCAUAAUGCAUCCAACGAUAGCAUAUGACCUGCUUAUCCGUUUCAAUAUUACAACAGCAUGUUAGCAUUUUUAUAAUGUAAUCAUAAUCGCCACACAUUACUACACACACAUGCCAUACAAAAUAGUUAAUUAUCUAGCAUAAUGAAUUUAUCGUAUAUAGCAUCACUUCUCCCCUAUAGUUGGCAUCACCACACCGACCGCGGCGACCCCACGACUUUGAAAGUUGCUUGGUCGCGACGCGGCAAUGGGGCGGGGCAUAGGCAUCCGUUGGAGUGAAACAUCGUCUUUCCCACCACUGUCGCCACCUGCCGGGCUUCGAAAGCUCUUUAGAUUUGACUGGCCCUAAUCGUGUCUCCGCAAUUCUACUUCAUCGAUGUCGCUCCAUCGUCUUGCCAUACAUCGACUGAGCUGGUUGCACAUGUGCAUCAUCGCCGGAACAGGACAUUUUGUAUAUUUUUUUCUUGUUGUUGUUAUUAUUAUGGUAUUAAGUCUGUCUGUUUAUCAUAUAAUUCUUCAAAUGAGGUAAAAUGACAUCGAUGUGCGCGCAUACUGAAGGUAAUAAUUUGUUACUGAGUAGAACCUGUCGUACGAUGAUGCUAGAACUUAUUCGCUGACUGAGUUACUGAGCCGUUGACUGAGGCGGGUAGAAGACACGUGGGUUAGAAUAUAAUGGUUUAUCAAGAUAUUUACCUUUUUUCGUCCUCUGCCUGCUAUUUGCCCAUUCAUACAUAUUUACACCUACGAGCUCGACUGUGCUCGCGCCUCCAAGAGACGCCCGCAUUCUCACUUUCGUACCUAUGCACCCGCGCAAACCGAACCGAUUUCUGUUUUGGUUUCGUGUGUUUACAUCCAGACAUUACGGAUGUGUUUACAUUUCGUCGGCCUUACCGGCACUCGCGUACCUGUUCCUCUUUUUGCUCUCCUAUUUGCACUUUUAUUCCUUUUAUUUUUUUUAGAUAAGUGCUCCCAAUCUGUUUCCUUAUAUCCACAUUUGAUCAAAGUUAUUGUUCCGUGAUGGUGUUUAUCGUGGUGUUAACGGAUCGUCUGCACGCCGGAAAUCUCUCUUCGUCAUGUUCAUUGAAUGUGUUAUAUGUAACCUGUGUGAUCAGCCCCAGUUUUUCUAGAUCGUCUCUGAGUGAAGGUAACAAAUUAUUAUUGUUGAUUAUAUGGUUUUUAACUAUCUUGUUGAAUUUUUACAGGAGAGAUUUAACAAUCUAUGUGCGUUUCACGGAAAGAAAUGAUAUUGAUCGUAAUGAUGAAAAGAAAAAAACUAGAAUGGUUUUACCUAAUCACGAACGCAAGCAGCCACGCAACCUGUUGCCUCCGUUGUAUUAGGCGUCGUAGCGAACUAAGUAAGUUGGCCUGUACUGACUAUGUCAGAAACAAUGCACUAUUCACGAUACGUUCCAUUGGAAGUUUCAUAGAAUUUUUAUAGUAGAGUAUUAUAUAAAUAGAUUUGCCAAUGUUGUCUCUCAUCACAAGCGUGCUUUUCAUCGGAACACCCGUUAAUCUCGUUCAUUUGAUUAAUAAUCAUAAGAAAAAUUACUAGCAGCGUUGCGUUUCAGCUUGCUAUAGUUUCUGAUUGCAAGUUAACUUUCUCUCGAGGAAUCGUUCGGUCAGUCUCUUUGUCGAAAUCAAUCUCUUUCUGUCAGAUAAACAGUCAUACACCAGUCUCUAAACAGGGGAAUAUUAACGCCCAUUGUCUUUAUCUGCUGGUUUUUUUCUUUCUUUUCUGGGCUAGUCCGCUCCACUGCUAUAAAUAUUCUAAGUAUAUAUAUAUAUAUAUAUAUAUAUAUAUAUAUUAGAAUCUAAGCAUGUAUAAUAAGCCUAUCGCUAACACAAUUUACAUCGUCAUUUCACUAGCGUUAACAUUUUUGUUGUUGUUGUUGUUGUUGUUGUUGUUGUUCUCACAGUUCUUCGAUCUCCGGCAAAUUCUGUCCUAGUCGACCGAAAACCCAAUCACUGUGUCGUCUUGUUAAACAUUUCCCGUUCACUUUUCUUUAUAAUGUUACCGCCGUCAUCUUCACUCAUUCGUUUACUAUAUAAUUAAUGAAACUUCAGCCACCAUAAUCAGCAUAUGUUAUCAAUAUUUGCAACAAUCUGGAAGAGCUCUCGCCAGUGCACACAUGCAUUAAGAAGCGGAAAUAUUAUCGCCAUUAUCAAUAGUAUUAUUACUUCUAUUAAGGAAAUGCUUUAUAACACGUCAAAUCUUCAUCAAUGAAUCAAUUCAUUAUUUAUUGAAAGAAAGGGGAGGCUGUAGGUUGUAGGAAACGAUUUGUUUCUGUCAGUUUUAGCUCUUGUAAGUCUGGCGCCCACCCCCUGGUUGGAGACAGGGGUGCAGAACCCAUCGAAGCAUAAUUUUUCUGCACGCCGGGCCCCAGUUUACAAAUUCAGUUAUUACUAUUAUUACUAGCGACCACCAGGACGUUCUCAUGAAUACCUAGAGUAAUAGCGGCGGCGGCGUCGUAACGUCGUCGAAAAUUUUUCUCUGAUCGUUUAUGAGCCUCAAAAAAUCAACAAAGCCAAGACUUUUCGCGUCGCUUCGCCUCUAUAAAGCUGUGGGUGAAUCACAUGUAUGUAUGAAUCGUUACGAACACCCGGCAGUCGGCCUGUUUUGACAACAUUUUGUUGCCUACAUAGUUGUUACUGUUGCUGAUGUCGUCUAUAUUCUUUUUUUUUUUUAUUCUCUCGUGUCUUGAAAUGUAUUCUCCGAUAAUGCCCCUUUCCGUAAUAGCCAUGAAUAGUCUUGUUAAUUCGACUUUUCAAUCCAUGAGGAAUCCGCGACACCCCAGGACCAACUGCUUUGCGCCUUUGAACGACAGGGUCAGAGGAGAGAAUUGCGCUUGGUACCGGCGCUGGUAAGUAGAGCCGCCCUCCAACGGGAUCGCAGUCAGUGUGCAAACGCUUGCUUGGCUAUUUUGUGGUUUUUUUUUUGUUUGUGUGUACUAACAAGUUUUUUUUUGUGUGCGAACGUAGCUUGCCCAGGCGUCUGUGACCGUGUAGUUGCUAUUCUAUUUACCGUUUCGGUACCUAUAUUAUUUUUUUGUUAUCUACUACGCGUAACUGGUGGUCAUAUCACAGUGGACGUUUCCUUAGAGGUCUUUAUUCAUUAUUGUUUUAUCAGUAUCCCGUUAUAUGAUUACUAUUAUUGUGAUUACUAUUACGGUUCCAUUGAGGAACAUCCCCUCGAUAUUUUCUAAGGGGACGACUUCUGCAGCAGCAUCCACUGCCAAAUUCAGCCCCUAGCGUUUACUAUUCUCGCACACCCCAAGUCCGUCUCGAAGCGGUGGUUAGCAUAGAUUUGUAGGACAAAUGGCAGUUGUACAUAAAACCCAGUCCUAGGAUCGGUGUAAUAGUUCAAUCACUUAUGUGAUUCGACCGAAUAUUUGCUCGAACGGCAUUCAGUUGAUGACAUCAACCAAUUUCGUCAUUAAGAAUAUUGGUAACAGUAUGGACUGAAGUAGAAGCUAUCAUUAUGGCUCAUUAACUUGGUUUAACUCUUGUUAUCAAUACAGGGAUCGAGUUACUGAUCAGACACACGAUUGCCUUUUUUUUUUUUGCCACACGAACUUUCGAUAUUCAAAAGUUAUCAAUGUUCAUCGCUUACUCUUUAAUGAAAUUUUAUUCCGGUUUGUUUGUUCGUGUAUCUGUCUUUUUUCAUUAGUGAUUGUUCGCUAUUCACUGGAUUCUGCGCUCUGGUUUAUUCGCUUACAUAGCUGAUUGAACUUCCCUGUUUCUUCAGUUCUGUAUGUUUGUUUGAUGUAGCUCAGUGCUGUUCGUCUGCAUUUCUCUCUGUGUCGUCUGUUCGCUCGCCUGCUUCGUCUGCAUCUGCGGAACUGGUGUUAUUGUUGUGUUUCGAUUCACCGCUUGCAUACAUACAUUCAUUCAUCCAUCAAUAUAAUUGUAUUUGUUCGGCUUUGCUCGAUUUGCUCAGUGGUGCAUUUACUUCCAUCUGCUGCUUACGUUAUAGUCUAUUCUCGUUUUAUGUCGACCUGUGACGUUUGCACAAUUUGCGCAAUGCCUUUUACCGUACUCGUCGUAGCAUGUUACUGUCGCUCUGUUGAUGUUUUUGAUUCUUUACAUCGUCUGCGUCUACUCGUACAUUUCGUUUCCAUUUAAUUCUUUGCUUCCGUGCUGAUACCAGCCUACUUGUCAACAUCAUUCAGCCAUCAGAAUUGCCUUCAUCGUAAAACUAGACGUUCAAGGCAUUACCUGUUCUCUGCAUCUGUUUAACAGUAUAGCACUUCUUUUCCCUCGGUGUUUCGUAUUAAACUAGUACGAUAACUUUUCAUCGUAUCAGUAAAAUCAUCAGUCGGUGAAUAUUCGCAUGUACGAUUAAUGCUGCUGCUGCUGCUGCUGCUGCUGCUGCUGUUGUUGUUGUUGUUGUUGUUAUUAUGAUGGUUAUUAUUGUUUUUACUGCAUUGGAUUUGUUAUUUAAAAUCGUCUACUUUUCGUGCAGGUUAUUCUCCUUUAAUUUAUGUUGCUUUGGAACAUUAAUUGUUCGUUCUAUGGUCGCAAUCGUUGGUUUUGCGGUUGUCGUUCGUCGUAUUUGAUUUUUCUGUGGGUGUUUGAUUCCUUCUUCUUUGUUGUAUUCAAUACCACUAUAUUAACGUUUUUCUGGUUGUUAUUGUUAUCAUUAUAACGGUUGUGUGUUAUGUAGACGGUGCGCAAUUGCAGAAGGAUAAUUGCGUGCAAUGCUUUGGCGCGGUGCGUUAUUUUCAACAGUGCGAACAGGCGCGUGCCGCGCCCGAAGGACGGCGGCGCUUUCUUCUUUGUUAUUUUGCACAUUGCAGACAAAAAUUGUAAUAUUAGCAAUAAUGUUUUUAGUAAUCUUAAUACUAAUCAAUUAUCCACUUAUAAUAGAAAACUAAUUUAUUGGUUUCUGUCACCCGUGCAUAACUAGCAAGCCAUGACUCCUACCAGUCACUCAGAUAGCAAGCCAACGACCCGGACAACUUUUUGAUUCGCUGCUUGGAUCGAUCUGUGUUCUAGCGGAAGGGUGAAGCAAAUAGAGAAUCGAUCGUCUUGACAAUUGAAGGCAUUGACCAAGUCUAGAAAAAUGAAUGGCACCCAGCUAUAAGUGGACUGUUUCGGUAAGAGGCACAGCGUUUCGUACUUGGUGCUGAAUUGCACCAAAUAUGGGUCAAGUGCAUUUUUUCUAAUGCUUCCACAUAAAAUGAGAGACCCUUGGCCCGUUAAAUUCGGGCAAGCGUGUACGCUAAUCACGGCCGUUGAGAGCCAUCGGACAGACGUCAGCCUAUAGCUACUUUAAUGCUGUUGAGGCUCAUUUUACUUUCCAUUGUUCCCCUUCGCUUGCCACGAUGCAGCGAAAUUUGAGAGAAGUGUUUCAAAACAGCUUUCGGUAAAUUUGGAGGGGUAAAGCGACGGAUUGUACGUGGGGAAGAUCUCGGAAAUAGGAAGAAACGCGAUCGUGUUCGUGAGUAAUUGCACAGAUGGCUGACGUUCAACAUCAACAAGUAAAUAUAUUGGGUCCGUUUGAUUCUCCUAACAAAUGAACUAUAUAGAUGGGGAUAUUUCUGGGAAGGGCAUAAACACGAAGCAACUGCGUACGGGCACUUGGUCCGAUGCAGUGCGGUUGGAUAUGAAUCGUAAAUAAUGAUUAUUAUGUUUAAUAUAAUUUUUUUUCACGCGUCUCAUUCAGACAGUAAUUGUUCUUUUUUGACUUUACUUCCUACGUCUAUUCACAAUUUCUCUAUAAUCAAUGCUGAUAGGAGUAUUCCGCAGUAGCAUCCAGUAUUACUAGUAAUGAUGCUAGUAACAGUAAUUCUUGUAUAAUGUUUCGUGCUGUGAACGACACACGCCUAAUGAAUAUACAACGUCUGUGAUCUGCUCCCCCUUGUUGCCUUAUAUUGGUUUAGUAUUCUUGUAGCUAUUAUCAUUGUUAUGAUCAUUAUUAUGAUUGUAUAUAUAUUACAGCCUACGGUGAGUGCAUAGCUAGGAGCUUGUAGUCUCGACGGCCGUGCAGAGCUGGCGAGGUUAGCCGUGAAGGCGAGAGCGGUUUAAAGCUCAAGCAAAUCGGCUUUCGAUACUCGAGGCACCGCGUCCGCCUGAGGCAACAUGGGUGGACGUGUGCACGCAAUCCGCCAUUUGUAGAUACAAGGGUAAUAAGCGAACUGCAUGAGUACGCUACAGCGGUGGAGUGCGCGCCACUAUCGAUCCUGUUACCGGCCGACGUGCUUCGACAUCUCAACCGAUCACGAAGGUAGUACUGAGUCUGUGACCAUUUACUCCGCCUGUUUCCCCCGUCUGGAAAAGAUACUGUCAAAUGCGCGCAAGCGUCGGCGGCACUGCACUCUGACUUCUCACUGAUAUAGGACUGUUCGCAAAAGAGAGCGCUUAUAGGAGCUCCCCAAUCCCCACAGUGAAGCACUUCUGCUCGGAGACGUCCGAACUUGUGGCCCAUGGAACUGUCGCCUAGCCACACGAAGCCGGUGGCGGCUUAUUUCGGUCCUUCCGGGCUGUAGAAAGAGAACGCAGACCAUAGGAAUGUAUUCAGCGGCGACGUUGCACUGAACGUUCCUUCUUCUUACUGAGAAAGCGCCACAUGCUAUGCUAUAUUCCUCGAGACAGUGCCCCCUGGUGUUUUCCAAACAGUGAACGAGCAAUGCUUGAUGGAACUUUUGAGUCAAGGUAGCUAUAUCGCUAUGGUGCGACCAGCUUUAACAAAGAAGUUGAAGGGCAUGCCUUAGGACGGAGCAACUAGCGGUAGCCAGCGCUAGGGGCUCACGAAAGAACUCACAACGGCAGUCAGUUUACACGACCAGGGGAACUGACACUGAUGGCCAAUUCACCGAGUCAACUCGCCGGAAACGAGCUGCGUCUAGUCGCACGCUUUCAGCCAAAAGGAUCUGGCCAGCCGUCGUUUCUAUGAGCUUUCGCUUCACAUGGCUACAACGAAAAAAGUUGGGUCGACGGUGGCGGUCGACAAUACCAAAGAAAAACAUUUUUAGGCCAGCGUAGUUUAGUGCGUGAGACAACAGUGACAGAAGAAAAGCCUAGAAAAGCUGCAGCCGAAGAAAACACGAUGAGUGCAAUCUGGUAGAUUUUGAAGAUCCAUUUUAGCCCAUACAACUCACUGAACAUUCAGGCGUACGAGGCAGAAGAUUUGUCAACUAUUGAUUCGUUCUGUACGCAAAACUUAGCAUAGGAGUAACAUUAGGGUUAACAUUGUCGUUAGCGAGGGUCUCAGCAGAUUGCCACUGAUGACAGAUCGUUUCGAAAGGAGCGACUCUAAUCUUCAUAGAUGACAUUAAUAUGAUGUGGAUCUCAGUAUUGCACUAUGAAAAUAUUUAACUAGGAAUGAUACGUUUCUUCAAUAGUUAACCUUCUAGUUUGUACGACAAAUAGUGUUUUUUAUUGACCAAGCUGGAGCCAUGGGAGCACAACAGUGAGAAUUACUAUAAUUUAAUCGGUUAUUAUGAUUUCGACCAUAUUACUAUAGGAUUUAUGCAAAUUUUCGGGACUAUCAUCAUGUAAACAUCAGAUGAAAAUGUUGGCCUGGUCUUUCGCAAAAAUGUUACUCCUGAUCUGUCACAAAACAUUGAAAAUUAAAUAAUAAAAGAUUUUACAAAAAUGUAAAGAUGAUCGAGA